Molecule: ribosomal RNA, 460 nt
Filed under: uncultured bacterium
Lineage: Bacteria
Description: partial 16S ribosomal RNA
Rfam family: Bacterial small subunit ribosomal RNA
Source: RNAcentral
CCUACGGGGGACAGCAGUGAGGAAUAUUGGUCAAUGGGCGGAAGCCUGAACCAGCCAAGUAGCGUGCAGGAUGACGGCCCUACGGGUUGUAAACUGCUUUUAUACGGGAAUAACGCGCCUUACGUGUAGGGCUUUGCAUGUACCGUAUGAAUAAGGACCGGCUAAUUCCGUGCCAGUAGCCGCGGUCAUACGGUAGGUCCGGGCGUUAUCCGGAUUUAUUUGGUUUAAAGGGAGCGUAGGCCGCAUGUCAAGCGUGCUGUGAAAUGUCCGGGCUCAACCCGGGCCUUGCAGCGCGAACUGGCGUGCUUGAGUCCGCGGAAGGCAGGCGGAAUUCGUCGUGUAGCGGUGAAAUGCUUAGAUAUGACGAAGAACACCGAUUGCGAAGGCAGCUUGCUGCAGCGGAACUGACGCUGAUGCUCGAAAGCGCGGGUAUCGAACAGGAUUAGAUACCCCAGUAGUC